UGAGGAAUAUUGGUCAAUGGGCGGGAGCCUGAACCAGCCAAGUCGCGUGAGGGAAGACGGUCCUACGGAUUGUAAACCUCUUUUGCCGGGGGCAACGGGGUCCUUGCGAGGGCCUUAUGAGAGUACCCGGAGAAAAAGCAUCGGCUAACUCCGUGCC
RNAcentral lists this ribosomal RNA (157 nucleotides) under uncultured bacterium. Its description in RNAcentral is "partial 16S ribosomal RNA". It matches the Rfam family "Bacterial small subunit ribosomal RNA", at positions 355 to 509 of the family's 1533-position model. The record is from RNAcentral.